GUGAGGAAUUUUGCGCAAUGGCCGCAAGGCUGACGCAGCAACGCCGCGUGGGUGAUGAAGGCCUUCGGGUCGUAAAGCCCUGUCAGGUGGGAAGAAAGGCCUGGAGAGGAAAGGUUUCAGGUUUGACGGUACCACCAGAGGAAGCACCGGCUAACUCCGUGCCAGCAGCCGCGGUAAUACGGAGGGUGCGAGCGUUAUUCGGAAUUACUGGGCGUAAAGCGCGUGUAGGCGGGGGGACAAGUCUGAUGUGAAAGCCCUGGGCUUAACCUGGGAAGCGCAUUGGGACCUGUUUUUCUUGAGUACUGGAGAGGAAGGGGGAAUUCCCGGUGUAGAGGUGAAAUUCGUAGAGAUCGGGAGGAAUACCAGUGGCGUAGGCGCCCUUCUGGACGGUAACUGACGCUGAGACGCGAAAGCGUGGGGAGCAAACAGGAUUAGAAACCCCUGUAGUCC
This 450-nucleotide ribosomal RNA is filed under the name uncultured bacterium. RNAcentral describes it as "partial 16S ribosomal RNA". It matches the Rfam family "Bacterial small subunit ribosomal RNA", at positions 354 to 796 of the family's 1533-position model. The record is from RNAcentral.